CACCCAACAGCUAGCCCCUCCCCCAAAACCAAUGAAACAACAUAAAUAACCCCCAAAACACAACAACAAAUCAAACAAACCAUUUUUCCUCCCUAGUAUGGGCGACAGAAAAG
RNAcentral lists this ribosomal RNA (113 nucleotides) under Giuris tolsoni. RNAcentral's name for it is "partial 16S ribosomal RNA". Lineage: Eukaryota; Metazoa; Chordata; Actinopteri; Gobiiformes; Eleotridae. The record is from RNAcentral.